This 67-nucleotide transfer RNA is filed under the name Marmota monax (woodchuck). RNAcentral's name for it is "tRNA.Ala". Lineage: Eukaryota; Metazoa; Chordata; Mammalia; Rodentia; Sciuridae. The record is from RNAcentral.
GGUUCUAGCUCAGUGGUAGGGCGCUUGCCUAGCAAGUGUGAGGCCCUGGGUUCGACCCUCAGCACCA